CCCGGCAGGAGGAGCUCCGAGGGGCACAGGACGCGCCCGGCGGCGGCCGCGGGCGGGACGGCUGCCUCGCUCAGCGCUCACCCGCUCAGACAGGCAGAUGUAACUUCAGGAGGCAACCGUGGAAGAAGGAGGGAGAAGGGGGCACGGGCUCGUUCACAGCUGCCCAAGGACUUGAAGACCUGAGAGGGCCGGUGGUCUGCAGGCGGGGCCACGGGGGCGACACGGCCCGAAGCGCGGGUGAUAUUUGUGGAAAACCAGCCAGAGCAGAAUCUCUCGGCAUUCAGCUAACCCAGUCUGGGGGCCAGAGGUGACACCGCUUGAAAUUCCAAGACUGAGACAGAGACAGGAUGGAAACAGAGGCAUUUUCUGAGGCGAUCUGUGUACAGCACCAGUGAUUAAACUGCUGGAUGAGAACUCGGCUUCAUACAGUUCCCAUUCAGUUUUCUAGCAUCGGGACGGAGCUUUGCCUCUCUGCUGUUUCAGCGUUUGUCCUGAGGAGGACAAACGCUGUGCGAGGAGGAAGCUGGAGCAGUGCACCUAUGCAUGCAUGUCCCUCGCUGCCCUAAGAUACGUCCCUUAGCAAAAAAAUAUUUAAGACUUCCUCGAUGGAAUUAAAGUAAUACAACUUUGUCAUCCUUCACCCUAAAAUAAGAGAAAAUACAGGGACCUUUCGUAUGCUUCUGGUUUUCAACUUUCCCAUGAACAUCAACAUCAAAUCUUUCCAGAGUCACCCUACCACCAUCCCUUAUGAUGCAUUUAGAAAGGUGGUGUUUUCUUCCAUACUUUGCACAACUGUGGAACUGGCAGUUCUUUUACCUGUAUCCUGUACUGCUUGGUACAGCUUGGAAGCUUUGCUUAAAAUUAGCUUUGCAGGUAAUACCCAGAAGAGUUGAGAUGCCGAGCAGAAUAGCAGGCAUUUGACAACUGUUAUCCUGAAAUCAGUGGAGUAUAUGAUGCUGUGUUUCCAACCCUGCUACUGUACUCCAAAUGAGCUUCUUAGAGCAUAGACCAGCACUGGGCUGCCCACACCAAGAGUGGGGCAGUCUGUGUGGUGGGCAGCAGUACAUGCCUCCUCCUACACGGGAGUUUGCUCUCCUGUUACAAGCAAACCACAAGCUAUGUGAAUGUGAUUAAGCAGUAGCACUUGGUACCAGCAGUCAGGGCCUGAAGCUUACCUUUCCUUAGAGUAUAUGCAGAGUAAACUAGGCUCCCCUUUGAAAUAACUGAGGCUGUCUUCACAGAUUCCUUCACUAAGAUUCAGAAAGCUCGCAGGCAGUUAAAGAGUCUGGCUCGCACAACUAAGAAACACGCAACUUUGCUCUGAAGGUUUUUAGCAGUCAACAGAAAUAGCACUUGGUAAAGGUCAGCAACUCAUCUUUCUAGACCUAAUAACAAUAACAGGGCCAGCAAGGUUGUUCUGUGACGAUGCCCACAGUGAUUUAUGACCUACAGGGGCUGUGUUACAGCAGGAGCAAAAAAAAUCUGCAAUAUUAGUUGCAGCUUGGAGGAGUAAAUAAAACGUGCAGCUGAGGGUAGGGAAGGCUACUCUGCCCUUGUUAGCUAAUCUUUCUGUGUGGCUUUUAGCAGGUUACUUCUCCCAUAGAGAAUUGAGAUCCAGGGAAGCCAGAGAGUUUGGCAAGAAAGCUGUGAAAAGACCAGGAAGCUCAGCUCCGCUUUCAGUCAGUACUUGCAGUUACACUUUUAUAGCCUGCAGCUAGUUUCUUUUCACAUGUAUUUUGUUGGUUGGGAAGAAGAGAAGAUGACAAAAUUAACAAUCUGUGGACUGAAUAACUUGGCUGGGGGAAAGGCAGGGCAGAGUUGCACGCUGGAAGGACUGCUUUCUAAUUUUGUGCCACAGAUGGACAGAUGGGAAACUACUCCUGAGAGCUGAAUGCAAUGUAGAGUUGUUAACUUGCAUCUUUCCCUAGUAAACAUGACACUGUAGCAUCAGGAGUGAAAACUGAGCUGAAGAAUUACCUCUUAUCAAUCAAAUGACAAAAGUGUGAAGGGAAAAGAUAACAGCCCCCCCAACAAACCCUCCUCUUGCCAGCUAGACCAUUAAUGGGACUAGGAUCUCUAAGAGGCUGAAAUAACAAUUCAUCCUCUGCACUUAAUCAGCACGGCUGCAGAACUGAUGUGCAUAGAAAUGGAACUAAAGGAAGAACAGCAGCAUUGACAGCCACGACAAUAAAAGGAUAAACUUGCCAGCUGUCACCAGCUGUCUUCCUAUAACCCAAGUAACUGUCAUUGAAUCCUCUCUGGAAAUGGGACAUGCUCCACAGAUAGCCUUGUCAGUCAUGGUGUGUUUCUAAGGGUAAGCUCAGCCUCUGACUAUGUCAUAAUUCUCUUAAGAAAGACAAUAACUGGCUCCAAAUGAAGGCUAUAAACAGUCAAGAACCCCUGACUUCUCUUCAGAGUGGAGACUGGCUAAGUAAAUGUGCAACGCAGAAAAGCCUGUGUGGGAAGGAUCCUUUGGCUGCGUAGCAACGUUACACGGGCAUAUUUUGUGGCAGGAAUCUGGCACCCAAGACAGCGAAAGCUACACUGAAACAACUCUUGGAAAAGCUGGGUUAACAGCCCCAUCAUGACUGCCAAAUACCAAGAAAGGCCACUGACAGCUAAAGGGACAGCAAGCGUCAGUCUGCAAAACCCUUCCAGUGUCCAAGAGACAGUACAAGCUAAAUACUACUGAACCUAGAUUCCAUGGACUAUGUCUUAAGACACAGCACAGAGGCAAGUCAAGCAGGCUGCAAGGAUCAGAACAAGCAGUACUUCCUUCAGCAGUGGCUCCUAAAGCCGCUUCCACACUGGCACCACCUACUUUUGCUCACAGCAAAGGUUGCCAUAGUCACAGCAGCUGUGUGGGGCUACCAGUUACUUGGUUUUAAAAGAAAGUUCUUCUUGAGUGUUUUGUUUUACGUUUUUCUUCUGUAGCGUAAGUGUUACUGGUAAAUAGUAGAAAAUCAAAGAUCUGAUCUGGGCUACAAGCGUUUUGUAGAUGAACUCACUAGUAGAAAUACAUCAUCAUCUAUCAUCUGCACUAGUCAUAGUUCCUUAGCUAUACCGAUUCUCUCCCCUCCUUCAAAUAGAAUUAAACGUUUGUUGUUCAAAACCUCUUU
This is a long non-coding RNA of Pipra filicauda (Wire-tailed manakin), 3119 nucleotides long. RefSeq lists it as uncharacterized. The record is from RefSeq and is a predicted model, not a curated record. NCBI's taxonomy places the organism in Eukaryota, Metazoa, Chordata, Aves, Passeriformes, Pipridae. The transcript is spliced from 3 exons.